RNAcentral lists this ribosomal RNA (497 nucleotides) under uncultured bacterium. Its description in RNAcentral is "bacterial SSU rRNA". It matches the Rfam family "Bacterial small subunit ribosomal RNA", at positions 899 to 1397 of the family's 1533-position model. The record is from RNAcentral.
ACUCAAAUGAAUAGACGGGGGCCCGCACAAGCGGAGGAACAUGUGGUUUAAUUCGAUGAUACGCGAGGAACCUUACCUGGGCUUAAAUGGGAGCAGACGGAUUUGGAAACAGGUCUUUCUUCGGACUGCUUUCAAGGUGCUGCAUGGUUGUCGUCAGCUCGUGCCGUGAGGUGUCGGGUUAAGUCCCAUAACGAGCGCAACCCCUACCGAUAGUUACCAUCAGGUCAAGCUGGGGACUCUAUCGGGACUGCCACCGUAAGGUGCGAGGAAGGCGGGGAUGACGUCAAAUCAGCACGGCCCUUAUGUCCAGGGCUACACACGUGUUACAAUGGCCGGUACAGAGGGCAGCUACCCUGCGAGGGGAUGCUAAUCUUAUAAAUCCGGUCUCAGUUCGGAUCGAAGUCUGCAACCCGACUUCGUGAAGCUGGAUUCGCUAGUAAUCGCGCAUCAGCCAUGGCGCGGUGAAUACGUUCCCGGGCCUUGCACACACCGCCCGU